CCAACGGGUGGCUGCAGUAGGGAAUAUUGGUCAAUGGGCGCAAGCCUGAACCAGCCAUGCCGCGUGAGUGAUGAAGGCCUUCGGGUCGUAAAACUCUUUUCUGAGGGAAGAACAUCCCGCGUAGGAAAUGACGCGGGCUUGACGGUACCUCAGGAAUAAGCAACGGCUAACUCCGUGCCAGCAGCCGCGGUAAUACGGCGGUUGCGAGCGUUGUUCGGAAUAACUGGGCGUAAAGGGAGCGCAGGCGGUUGGGCAAGUCUAAAGUGAAAGCCCGGGGCUCAACUCCGGAAGUGCUUUAGAUACUGCCGUACUCGAGUUCGUGAGAGGAAAGCGGAAUUCCAGGUGUAGCGGUGAAAUGCGUAGAUAUCUGGAGGAACACCGGUGGCGAAAGCGGCUUUCUGGCACGAUACUGACGCUGAGGCUCGAAAGCGUGGGGAGCAAACA
Molecule: ribosomal RNA, 444 nt
Filed under: uncultured prokaryote
Description: bacterial SSU rRNA
Rfam family: Bacterial small subunit ribosomal RNA
Source: RNAcentral